RNAcentral lists this long non-coding RNA (807 nucleotides) under Marmota monax (woodchuck). Lineage: Eukaryota; Metazoa; Chordata; Mammalia; Rodentia; Sciuridae. The record is from RNAcentral.
UGUCAUUGUAGUGAUCCAUGCCCCAAACUCCAGUGCAAACAGGACAUAGUGCUGUGAGCCCUGCUGUGGCCAAAAGCACUGUGAGGCAUCAGCAGAAAUAGCUCACUUGUGGUCGGGGUGACUAGGCAAGUUUUCCUGGGGAGGUGGCAAGAGAGGAGUGGGCAUUCCACGUCAAACGGCGUGAGCAAAGGGGAAAAGAUGUGGAUGUGGAAGAGGAGGUGAGUUGAAAAGUUUCACAGGAAUUAUUUUUUAAGCACUUUCUAGGGACUGUGAACUUCAUGUAACUUUUUUCCAUUCAAUCCUUAUUUAAAGUGUAGCUUGCCCAACCGGGCAUGGUGGCACAUGCCUGUAAUCCCAGUGGCUUGGGAGGCUGAGGCAGAAGGAUGUCGAGUUCAAAGCCAGCCUCAGCAACUGAGUGAGGCCCUAAGCAACUCAGCAAGACCCUGUCUCUAAAUAAAAUAUGAAAAAGGGCUGGGGAUGUGGCUCAGUGGUUAAAUGCCCCUGGGUUCAAUCUCUGCUACCAAAAAGAAAAUACAUAUAUAUAUUUUAUAUAUAUAUAUAUAUAUAUAGCUUGCUUUAUAGAUGGAUACUUAUGAGUGAGAAAAAUACAGGCUUGGAGAGACUAGGUAGUGUGUCCAAAGUUGGUAAAACUAGAUUUGAUCUUAGAUCUGUCUCAACAUAUUAUUCCAUCCAUUCAUUCUUUAAUUGCUUAUUUAUUUAUAUUGACCUUUUCUAUAUUAUAAUUCAUCACAAAAGAAAUAAAGCUCAUUGUAAAAAAUCUUCAAGGUAAAAAGUUUAAAAGUGUGC